UCUUCAAGACAGGGCCACCGAUGCCGUCUGACUGCUGGGGGCCAGGUGAGCACAACAGCUGGGCCUGUAAGCACCUUCCAAGCCAAAGGCUGAGAGAAGAGGACCGUUGCUGACUCGUGCACAAAUCUAAGAGACCUCUACUCUCCGUGAGGGGAGCAGAAGUCAAUGAUGUAACCAGAUUCCAAAUCUGGAUGGCAGCAGGUGGAAAGGGUCAUUUGCUGAUCUCCUGGUGGAAGAAAUUAAUGCUCAGGAGUCAGUUCCAAAGAGGCUUCCUCGGAGCACCUUACAGCCAGAAGCCGCAGGCCCGGGAACGGCUGGGCUGGAAGCAGUGGUGACCGGACGUGAUGUCGGUGGUUCUCCACCCGCGUUCCCCGGCGCCGGAGCUCUCCCAGCUGUUUAUUCCCUGCCGUCCUCCUGACACGACUCCCAGAGACCAUGAAAAGGCUGAUCACACAGAUGCAGAAAUGGAAGCCUGGCAAGUUCAUGAAAGUGACUUACCUGACGGCAAAUCACAGAGCUAGGGCUCAGCUCUCCUGGCCUCACUCCAGUGUUGGUCCCAUCUGGAAACACCAGAUUCAUGAAGGCCAGGGUCUUACCACGUGAUUCACAGUGCCAGAUAUGAAACCAUGAGCCUCAAGUGUGUCCAUGUUCUCCUAUUAUUAGCACUGAAAGUGCCAACUUACGUUUGUGACUCGGCCACUGACAUCGACAGAUGUGGGGGUCAAGCUCUGAUUUUUGACUUUUCCUCAACAGACACACAAAAGGUGUUGAAUGAAAGGGAAAGGGAAAAAAAGUUCUCUUCUGUUUUGUCUGCUUUCAGUGCAACCAAUAAAAAUGAAUACCUUCCUUUGAUGGC
Molecule: long non-coding RNA, 856 nt
Organism: Mustela lutreola (European mink)
Lineage: Eukaryota; Metazoa; Chordata; Mammalia; Carnivora; Mustelidae
Exons: 4
Source: RefSeq, a predicted model, not a curated record